GGGGGUUUAGCUCAGCGGUGUAAGCACCUGCCUUGAAAGCAGGCAGUCCUGAGUUCGAUCCCCGGUACCAAUA
Molecule: transfer RNA, 73 nt
Organism: Cavia porcellus (domestic guinea pig)
Lineage: Eukaryota; Metazoa; Chordata; Mammalia; Rodentia; Caviidae
Rfam family: tRNA
About the family: Transfer RNA (tRNA) molecules are approximately 80 nucleotides in length.
Source: Rfam